This 263-nucleotide ribosomal RNA is filed under the name uncultured bacterium. RNAcentral's name for it is "partial 16S ribosomal RNA". It matches the Rfam family "Bacterial small subunit ribosomal RNA", at positions 524 to 786 of the family's 1533-position model. The record is from RNAcentral.
UACGUAGGGAGCGAGCGUUGUCCGGAAUUACUGGGUGUAAAGGGAGCGUAGGCGGGGUAGCAAGUCAGGUGUGAAAACUAUGGGCUCAACCCAUAGACUGCACUUGAAACUGUUAUUCUUGAGUGAAGUAGAGGUAAGCGGAAUUCCUAGUGUAGCGGUGAAAUGCGUAGAUAUUAGGAGGAACAUCAGUGGCGAAGGCGGCUUACUGGGCUUUUACUGACGCUGAGGCUCGAAAGCGUGGGGAGCAAACAGGAUUAGAUACC